Molecule: long non-coding RNA, 1365 nt
Filed under: Anser brachyrhynchus (Pink-footed goose)
Lineage: Eukaryota; Metazoa; Chordata; Aves; Anseriformes; Anatidae
Description: lncRNA (ENSABRG00000008043.1)
Source: RNAcentral
AAGCAACUGCAACUGAUCCCUGUCGUGCUCUGUCCCCAGGGUGACAGAGCGCAGACUUACUGCGAGCUGGAGAGCGUCUUGUGGGGAGAUGACAGCCGCCUGCAGUGCGGUGUCGUGAACCGGCUGAUAGCAGAGGUGUCCCGUGACCUGACAGCUGACCAGGUGAGAUGGUGCUCUUGGAAGGCGGUGGGAGCAGCCUGCCAGGCAUUUCAGGGAAAUCUGGAGCAGUGCAGACAGGUUUUUCUGGCACUGGGGCCCAACAGAGGCUCCCCAGUAGCCCUGAGGGACAAAGCGGCUGGGGAAAUGCCUGCCUGGGCUAGGCGGGGAGCAACAGCCGGGGAGCUGCUCACCUUCCUUCCCCAGGGGACCAGAGGUGGCAGCCGCCCAGCCCCAGGCACAGCUGUCCCCAAGGGGUGUUGUGGGGGAGUAGGGGCCAUCUUCCCAGUGGCUCCAGCACACAGAUAACGUUAGAGCUGAAGCCCCGUAGCCGGUGCUGGCUGGUUCACAUAUUAGGGUAUCACAGGAUGGCUGAGGCUGGCAGGACUGUCUGGGUCCACCUGGUCCAACCCCUGCUCCAGCAGGGCCACCCAGAGCAGGCUGCCCAGGACCGCGUCCAGGCGGCUUCUGAAGAUCUCCAAGGAGGGAGACCCCACAGUGUCUCUGUGCCAGUGCUCCGGCACCUGCACCUGUUCAGCCCGUCCAAGUGCCUCAGCCUGUCUCCCGGGGGGCAAUUCACCUGAGCCUCUUUUUCAGGGCGUGACGGAAGACACGAAGAUGGCUGCUAGUGACGUCCUGGUGGCUCUGGCCCGCUCCCACUUCAGCUUUGUGAUAGCCGAGCUCCAGGCCCAGCUGAAGGCCCCGGGGGAGAUCUCCAAGGAGUUCGUGCUCAUCACUGUGGGCAAACUCUUCAGCACCUAUGCCCUGCAGUGCAUCCCCUUCAUGCGCAUGAUGCUGUUGGGCCUGCGCACCGUGGUGGGCCAGUUAGGGAGCAGCCGGAUCCUGCGUGCCGCCUGUGGUGUUCUGGAGCAAUGGGCGAAAGGGGUCAACAUUUACAUCUGCACCUGGAAAGGAUGCCCCUUGCCUGCCACGGAGAAAGAGCAGAUAUACGAAAACCUUUCCCAGGUGUUCUGCUCUGUGGCAGGAAACUGGCUGGACUGCCAGGAGGAAGAGGUGAGGACUGCUGUUUCCCAGCUGGGGAUGGCAGCAGGGAUGCCCCCGACGGUGCCUCUGUCUGUGCCCAGCGGGCUGGCUGCAAAAGGCCCCAGACUGGCUCUAUGCCUGGGGCUGGGGGCUCCCUGCGGGGAAGCAGCUGAAUCCCAGGGCAUUUGGGCAGGCAGGGUGGGGGGGUGAGGGGUGGGGAAAACC